AGCAUCACCCUGAGCACGGAUGAAGCCGCAAAGGGCGAAGGUAGUGAACUGGCCGGUGUAAACCCCGCUCUCAUCCAAAUGCCCGAUGUUGAUCUGGACCGCCGCAUGAUCCUUCGCGGUGAUGAGCCUGUUCGUCGCGGAACACUUCCUCGGGAUGUAGAGAUCCAUCAUCUGUCCCUCCUCGUUCUGCAUCUUCUCCGAUUGAUCGGUUGCGCAACACGAUCUGGGUGAUGUAACUGAGAAAGAUAUUAGAAAUCGAUGCGGCAAAUCAAGGGAGCGG
This 280-nucleotide unclassified non-coding RNA is filed under the name Hevea brasiliensis (rubber tree). The record is from RNAcentral. Lineage: Eukaryota; Viridiplantae; Streptophyta; Magnoliopsida; Malpighiales; Euphorbiaceae.